Molecule: ribosomal RNA, 341 nt
Filed under: uncultured Pseudomonadota bacterium
Lineage: Bacteria; Pseudomonadati; Pseudomonadota
Description: bacterial SSU rRNA
Rfam family: Bacterial small subunit ribosomal RNA
Source: RNAcentral
AACGAACGCUGGCGGCGUGCCUAACACAUGCAAGUCGUACGAGAAAUCCUGGGCAACUGGGAAAGUAAAGUGGCGUAUGGGUGAGUAACGCGUGGGUAACCUAUCCUUGAAUUGGGGAUAACUCCUCGAAAGCGGGGUUAAUACCGAAUAACGUUCCAGCUUCUUCGGAGGUUGGAACCAAAGAUGGCCUCUGCAUGCAAGCUAUUGUUUAAGGAUGGGCCCGCGUACCAUUAGCUUGUUGGUAGGGUAAUGGCCUACCAAGGCAACGAUGGUUAGCUGGUCUGAGAGGAUGACCAGCCACACUGGAACUGAGACACGGUCCAGACUCCUACGGGUGGCAG